Molecule: long non-coding RNA, 1503 nt
Organism: Megachile rotundata (alfalfa leafcutting bee)
Lineage: Eukaryota; Metazoa; Arthropoda; Insecta; Hymenoptera; Megachilidae
Source: RefSeq, a predicted model, not a curated record
UGCCGUGGGAGCGAUUAGGAUUUUCAAGAAGAGUAAAAUCACUUACGAAUCACUUUUUACUUACACCUCGAUGUGUGUUUCUUAUUUAUGCGAAAAUUGAUCUAAAUCUUCGCGAUUGAUAUGUAUAUUACAGACAAUCAUAGUUGAAUGGAGAUUAAUCAUUAUUUCGCGUAAAAGACAAAUUGCCACUCUACGAUGGUUUUUUUUACUUCGAUUUUUAAAUAUAUUCACAAUCAGGCUUGAGUUUCGUGAAUUCUACAAAAGAGAAAAAGGAAAAAAUAUCUGGACUCAAAAUUGCAUCCUUUUCGUUUAUGCACUUCGAAUCUAAGGGAUAUCAGUAUAGUUUUGUAACUGUAAAUAAAAUCAAUUGUAAUAAUUUAUAAGGUUCCAGCUGCUUUAGACGAAAAUGAAAAUACAUGUAUUCCUUUUGCCUUACGCAUUCUACCUCGUAGUUUCGCUGAAAAUCGAGGUUUGGAACUUCGCCAUUUUCUUAUAGAAUGCGUGACACACCGGUAGAAAUGCAACGAGGAUCGAUGUAUUUUCUUUUACAAAGACUGUGCGAACGUAAGGAGAUUCGUGAGAAUAACUUUUACCAAUGACUCUUGAAAUAAAUGUAUUUUUAUUUAAAAGUUGCAUCAAACGCACCAGCGUGUCAUCAGAAGAGCCUCUCCGCGCUCUGCAGUCGUCAUUUCCCGGUUGUGAGAGAGAAUAUAAUGAAUCGUGUUCCGGUUGUAGUUGCUCUACAACGCAUUCAAAGAAGCGAACAAAGAUCUCGUAACAUAAUUUAUCUUCUGAUCUUAUGUUUGCGAUCGCUUUAUCAGCUGUACCAAUGUGACUUUCAUUGUAACCAACAACUGUCAAUAUGUCUCAGUUUUUUAUAUCAACUUUCACUCCGUCAUUCUUUACGUAUGCACAAACAGCAAAAUUUCUUUGAAUUUUCGUAAGUAGAAAGAGAUUUCAUAACGCUCACUUGAAAUAUCGGGUAAUUUAAAAGACAUUGUAUAUUAUGUAAUUAAUCACAUAAUCUUAUCGGCGGAAGCCUAUUUAUCUAUAUUUUUAAGAUAUCGCGUUUUAAAUUGUCUAUAAUAUUAAACCGACUUACCUUAUCAUACGUAAAUAAAUAUAUGAGCAUCUAUUUAUUCUGAAAUUCAUCUAGACUGUAAUGUUUCCAAUUUAUAAAGGUGAUUACGUGGUGCAAUAUAGAAGAUUUUAUAUUUGUUUAUAAUUUCGAGAUAUCAUGUUUCUAUUAUAUAUAAAUAUUACAUACAAAUGUUAGUGUUUAUAACAUAUAAAUAAUAUCACUGUGAUAUAAAUAGCGUUACUACUACAUAUAAAUAAGUAUGUACCAUGAAUAAAGUUGCUUUGCAUUCCUAAUCAAGCCUCCAUCUUCGAAGAAUAAUUUUCCAUGCUGCAUUGUUUUCAGAGGCAAUGUAUCGUACUCUAUGUAUAGCCGGAAAUAGUUUGUCCUCUACUAUUAUCAACAUCGUGAUCAGUUUCCGGUGC